Molecule: ribosomal RNA, 378 nt
Filed under: uncultured archaeon
Lineage: Archaea
Description: bacterial SSU rRNA
Rfam family: Archaeal small subunit ribosomal RNA
Source: RNAcentral
CCGACGGUGAGGGACGAAAGCUGGGGGAGCAAACCGGAUUAGAUACCCGGGUAGUCCCAGCCGUAAACGAUGUGCGUUAGGUGUAUCGGUGACCACGAGUCACCGAGGUGCCGAAGAGAAAUCGUGAAACGUACCGCCUGGGAAGUACGGUCGCAAGGCUGAAACUUAAAGGAAUUGGCGGGGGAGCACCACAACAGGUGGAGCCUGCGGUUUAAUCGGACUCAACGCCGGGAAACUCACCAGAUAAGACAGCUGAAUGAUAGUCGGGCUGAAGACUCUACUUGACUAGCUGAGAGGAGGUGCAUGGCCGCCGUCAGUUCGUACUGUGAAGCAUCCUGUUAAGUCAGGCAACGAGCGAGACCCACGCCAACAGUUGCU